Molecule: ribosomal RNA, 396 nt
Filed under: uncultured bacterium
Lineage: Bacteria
Description: bacterial SSU rRNA
Rfam family: Bacterial small subunit ribosomal RNA
Source: RNAcentral
AUUGGACAAUGGGCGCAAGCCUGAUCCAGCCAUGCCGCGUGGGUGAUGAAGGCCCUAGGGUUGUAAAGCCCUUUCGGCGGGGAAGAUAAUGACGGUACCCGCAGAAGAAGCCCCGGCUAACUUCGUGCCAGCAGCCGCGGUAAUACGAAGGGGGCUAGCGUUGCUCGGAAUUACUGGGCGUAAAGCGCACGUAGGCGGCUUGUUAAGUCGGGGGUGAAAUCCUGGAGCUCAACUCCAGAACUGCCUUCGAUACUGACAAGCUCGAGUUCGGGAGAGGUGAGUGGAACUGCGAGUGUAGAGGUGAAAUUCGUAGAUAUUCGCAAGAACACCAGUGGCGAAGGCGGCUCACUGGCCCGAUACUGACGCUGAGGCACGAAAGCGUGGGGAUCAAACAGG